Molecule: ribosomal RNA, 267 nt
Filed under: uncultured Acetobacteraceae bacterium
Lineage: Bacteria; Pseudomonadati; Pseudomonadota; Alphaproteobacteria; Acetobacterales; Acetobacteraceae
Description: partial 16S ribosomal RNA
Rfam family: Bacterial small subunit ribosomal RNA
Source: RNAcentral
UUUGGUUAAGUCCCGCAACUAGCGCAACCCUCGCCUUCAGUUGCCAGCAGGUUGGGCUGGGCACUCUGGAUGAACUGCCGGUGACAAGCCGGAGGAAGGUGGGGAUGACGUCAAGUCCUCAUGGCCCUUAUGUCCUGGGCUACACACGUGCUACAAUGGCGGUGACAGAGGGAAGCGAGGCUGUGAGGCUGAGCCGAUCCCGAAAAGCCGUCUCAGUUCAGAUUGCACUCUGCAACUCGAGUGCAUGAAGGCGGAAUCGCUAGAAUC